This 431-nucleotide ribosomal RNA is filed under the name uncultured bacterium. Its description in RNAcentral is "bacterial SSU rRNA". It matches the Rfam family "Bacterial small subunit ribosomal RNA", at positions 917 to 1349 of the family's 1533-position model. The record is from RNAcentral.
GGGCCCGCACAAGCGGUGGAGUAUGUGGUUUAAUUCGAUGCAACGCGAAGAACCUUACCAGGGUUUGACAUCCUGCGAAUCUCUUGGAAACGAGAGAGUGCCUUCGGGAGCGCAGUGACAGGUGGUGCAUGGCUGUCGUCAGCUCGUGUCGUGAGAUGUUGGGUUAAGUCCCGCAACGAGCGCAACCCACGUCUUUAGUUGCCAGCAUUUAGUUGGGCACUCUAGAGAGACUGCCGGUGAUAAACCGGAGGAAGGUGUGGAUGACGUCAAGUCAUCAUGCCCCUUACAUCCUGGGCUACACACGUACUACAAUGCUACGGACAAAGGGCAGCAAACUCGCGAGAGCUAGCAAAUCCCAUAAACCGUGGCUCAGUUCAGAUCGUAGGCUGCAACUCGCCUACGUGAAGGAGGAAUCGCUAGUAAUCGCAGGU